Molecule: long non-coding RNA, 1580 nt
Filed under: Lathyrus oleraceus (garden pea)
Lineage: Eukaryota; Viridiplantae; Streptophyta; Magnoliopsida; Fabales; Fabaceae
Description: Pisum sativum (pea) long non-coding RNA (PSAT_LNC003894)
Source: RNAcentral
AAAUAAAUAAAAUAAGUCUAACUAUAAAUAUUGUAUAACUCAUACAAGUUUUUUUGUAUCAAUAACUCAUACAAGUUUUUUUGUAUCAAUAUAACUCAUACAAGUUGAAAUAAAUAAAUUCAAGUGUUACAAGAUUUUUUUUAAUAACUUUAAAUUUAUUUUGGCUAGAGAAUUUGCCUCAGGAUAACUUUGUAUAACGAGGUGAUAUCAAGGAGAUAUCCAGUACUGAUUCGAGUCAAAAAUAAUAAAAUUGUUAAAUUAUAUUUGCGGCCGACUCAAAAAAUGGGAUACUGGGAUAGCGGACAGCAGAUAUCAGGAUAAAUUUUUGUACUAAAAUAAUUAUAUAAUAAUCUAUAAAAAUAUGUCAUAUACUUAAUGUAAAACUAAUGUUAUAUAAUAAUCCACAAUAAAAACAUUAGCACACCAGUAGAAGUAGAAAAGAGAAUAAAAAUUAACAUAAAAAUAAAAGUAGAAGUAGACAAGAUAAUAAAAACCGAGAACUUACAAUAUAAAAACAAAACAGAGUAGGAGGAGGAGUGGAGGAGAUGGGGGCCGGCCGGAGAGAGGCAGACAGCAGUGCUAGGGCAGAAAGCACAAGUGUUCGCAACGCUAGGGCAGAAAGCAGAAGAGGAAGUGUUCGCAGCAGCGCUGGGGCAGAAAGUAGAAGAGAAAGUGUUACUCUUAACCUCGAAAUUGAAAUGGAAUCCUAAAAGUGAAAUGAGAAGCAGCGCUAGGGCAGAAAGUAGAAGAGAAAGUGUUACUCUUAACCUCUAAAUUGAAAUGGAACCCUGAAAGUGAAAUGAGAAGUGGCAGAUUUUGCAGUGAAAUGAGAAUGAAACAACUUUUCACUCUUCAGCCUUUAGACAUUCUUUUGUGCAAAAACCUGCAUAAAAAAAUUGAAAUUAGAAUAAGUUAUUCUACCCUAGCUCCAUGAUAAAAAAUCAUAAAAAUAAAAUGUAAUUAAAUUGCAGUUAGGUGUUGUUUGGUGUACUAGACUACUAGUUUACCUAACAUCAUUGCUAAGUUGCUAAAUAGAAACAACUUCUAUCCUUUUUAACCGGUUAACAGAACCGAGCCAUUCAAAUUAACCAAACUGCAUAAAUCAUGUGACAAGGUUAAGUUCAAAUAUCUUCGCCAUUUAAGUUGCUUUUGAAAAAAUUAGUAGAAACGGAACAAUAACUAACUGAGCUAACUCUUCAAACACUAUUACUAGUUUCUACUAAUUCAUAACCAAGUUAACAUUUUUAUUAAGGCCAAUCUCAUGCUAAGACUAACAAGUUCAAUACAGUUAACAGAGUUACAACUUAACGGUUUUGUCCAAGCUAAUAACUAACUUCAAAGUUAACUAACUAACAGUGAUAAAUUGCUAACGUCUAACUGUAAUUUCAAUUCACUGCAAUUUCAAACAAUUCACGAAUUCCAAGGAAAUUAAACCGUUCACGCAAUUCAGGAAGCAUAGCAAAUUCGAGCUCUUAGACCAAGACCUAGUGCGCAAGUCUCCAGAAUUCAAUCAAUAAAGAAACAGAAGUAGAAUAAAUAAAAGCUCAAAGCACAUACCAGAUUUCAUAACAAGAUUUCGU